Long non-coding RNA from Felis catus (domestic cat), 1193 nucleotides. RefSeq lists it as uncharacterized. The record is from RefSeq and is a predicted model, not a curated record. NCBI's taxonomy places the organism in Eukaryota, Metazoa, Chordata, Mammalia, Carnivora, Felidae. The transcript has 2 exons.
CUGCUUUCUGCAAAACCCUUGGCUUUUUCUAGAUCAGGCCAACUCCUUGUUACCUCGGGGAAUAAAACCGAACUUUCUCAUAAUGAGGGAUGAAAUGUGCAGAGGGCUUGGAUUUCCGAAUCCAGGGAACAAUCGUCGCUUCGGCAAAGGCAUUUGUGGUCUUUUACAGUUUCCUCCAGAGCGGUUUUUGUAAGUUGAUGAGAAAGACUCACUCUGUGCAGUGUAAGGAGGGGAGUCUGGAAACAAUGAAAUCAGCAUUCCUAUAAUUAGCUCUUAAAUUGUUCCCCUGGAUAGACGCUCCCCCCAGCUCCCGCUCUAGCGUGCUAUUUGCACAUUCUUACUUACACAAAUCUGAACAAUUUUUGACAAGAUUUUUGAGUUUUGUCAGAUGUGAAUUGUUAAGAUUUAAUUGAAAAAAUGAACAGAACGCAGCCACUAUUUCAAAGGGAGUGACCCAGAACCAAUUAGAAUUUAGUAACAAUUGACCAUUCAACACUGAAAUCCAGGUUGGGACAGUCAGAUUAAAGCCACUUUAAUUCCAUCCCCCCUCCCCACUCCUGAACUCAAAAUAUCAUUAGUGGGAGAUUUCCCUGCGUUUUCUUCCAAUCAAUUUGCCUGGUUUUGGAGGUGAAGUUCAGCGGGCAGGGCCGUGCAGGGGAGGAUGCUGGCCGGUUAUCUCCCGGGCUGAGAUGAUCCCCAAUAUAGGUUACCGUCUUGAAAAAACAGGUCAGGCCAAGCAACAUUCCUCGCCAAAUUGCUGUUGACAGCCCAAACAGGAGACGGGGGAGGGCCACAAAAAGGGCCUUUCAUCUGAAGACAACACAGCGAAUAAUUGGUCAUUCUCUCCUUCUCAGCUGGGGGAAAAUUCCCAAACAAAGCCGCGGCUUCCUACGGCAACUUCUUAAUCCUUUCUGGCAGAUGCUCUCAGGGAAGUGUCAGCUGAGAAAACGUGGCUGGCGUGGCGGGCACGGUGCCCGGCGCAUAGCUGAGGUCAAGGCUCUCCCGUCGCUGCUUGAGGCCACCUCACUGAGGAGCUGUCCUGGAAUCCGUGCCGUCCAAUCGAAUCUUCUCAUCUCCGUGAUCACCUCUGUCCCCAAAUUCUUUUCUCGCUAUACCUCUUUUCAUUUCUAGAAAUCGGGUGAGCUCCCAAACUGUACCGUCAAGUAUCCAAGUACAAACACAUGAAACACAAA